This is a long non-coding RNA of Metopolophium dirhodum (rose-grain aphid), 2896 nucleotides long. RefSeq lists it as uncharacterized. The record is from RefSeq and is a predicted model, not a curated record. The transcript is spliced from 7 exons. NCBI's taxonomy places the organism in Eukaryota, Metazoa, Arthropoda, Insecta, Hemiptera, Aphididae.
GUAUCUAAAAACUUGCCGCGUCUACCGACGGUAACGGACCACUCUUAAAUUUAAUAGUAAAUUACGUGUUCUUUGAUCCGAAGAAUUGAUGGAAAAAGUUAUAAUUUUUAUAAGUUUUCUAUAAAAAAAAACUGCAUUCACGUUAAGAAUAUACGUGCGCGAAGUCUGAGCCGCCGACUUGCGUUUUGUGAUUGGUUGACAGUCAUCGGAAACCGUCGUUUAUCGAAGAAUCACGAAAACAUCGGGUUUUUGCGCGAUUCUUAAACAGUAAGAAAAUGUACAAACAAAAAAGAUAAUAAUUCGCAAGGGAAUAUAAUUACGUGUAAUUAAAACAUAAUACAAAUAAUAUAUAAAUUAUUAUGUGUGAUAAUCGUUAGAGUAAACGUUUACGCGCGAGUGGAAUCAAACAAUUGAUAGUGUAAUAAUCGAGGUAAUAAUACAACUCACUAGUACACUAUACAGCCGCUGCAGUUCCAUGACGGCGAUGCACGAACAGGAAGGGUUUGGUCGGCCGAGUGGUAUAAUUACCGGGAAAAAAAAAAUUCAGGUUGUACAAUAUUGUUACUAGUUCAUUAAAUGUAAAAACUAACAAAGUUACAUAAAAUCGGGCGAGACAACAACACAUGUUGGAAGACAUAUUCAAACAUCUUAAGCCUUACAAUGAUAGAAGCAUGUGUGAUUAUAUUGAUAUUUUGGAAGAUUUUCCACGUGAUAGCUUGGAUACUAGAUUGAAUGAAGUUAAUAUGUGAGCUGGAAAGGGCUUUAAGAUUUAUAAAUCGCUUUUAAAGAAAGUUGAUAAAGCUGAAGACAAUUUCAUGGUCCAAGCGUUUGUCAUUAAAGAUAUAAUAGAUAUACUUUUAUUUAGGAUGCAAAAUGUAUUUGACUGACCGCCAACUAGCAAACAAAUAUAAUAUUACAGGUCAUACGACAAUAUAAGACAUAAUUUAAUUUAAAAUUUGUGUUCAAUAAUUUUGAAAGUGUAAAUAUAUGAUGAAGAUUGUAACUAUGAUGUGCAAAAAAAACAAAAACUUUCAAUUCAACCAAACAUAGCAUUAUGCAAUAAACAUGAGUUUGAAAAUGCUUAUAAAAUACUUCCAAUACCAAAUAAAGAUGCAUUGAAUACUUUAAAAGACAUUUUAUGUAAUGAUGCCUUAUAUGAACAAACUGUAACCAAUAUUAUAUUCUCAUGACAAGUUGUAAACCAAUUGGAUUCGUAGAUUCAACAGAACGAGUAUGCAAACCCAAUAGAAGUUUUACUAAAUAAAACAAUCACCAAGAUGUUGGAAUAAUAGAAUCAGGCAAUUUCUAUUUGAGUUGAAAAUAGAACAAACUAUUUUUGUUGAUGAUGGUUUGAUUGUCAAGCAACAAAAUAAAAAUAAAUAUAUUAUUACAAGGUCUUGAACAAUAGUUUGAAAUAACACAAGGUCAUCUGUUCAUGCUAGGGCUGUCAUGGAUAGCGCAGAGGCAAUCCAUAGUAACGUUCAGUUCAACUGAAGCAGAAUAUAUUUCGGCAUACGAAACAGUCAAAGUUUUGGUUAGUUUUGGAAAUUACAUUAAUUCUUUAUUGUAUAGAAUAUUAAUUACGGGGCUGUGUUGAAUAUUGUAUAAAAAGUAACAUCAUACUGUUCAAUGAUAACAACAUAGUUGUACGAAUCACGAAAUAAAUGUUUCAAUUACAAGGCCAAUAGAUCACUUGUAUAUAUAGCCGUAUUUUAGCAUACCUACUGUAGGCACUAAAUUAUGAUAUUACUUAUGUGUACAUCAUGCAUUAGUUAUUAUGUUACUUAUUACUAAAAGCAGUGUAGUCAUUUUUGUCUAGAUUGAUCUACAAAUAUAGUUCUAAACUCAACUUAACUGUUGACUAAUAGCUAUACUGACCGGCCAUAAGGACAAUCAAAAUGCAUUUAGCGAGGCAUUUAGUAAAAUAGUAAUUAUGUUCUCUACUUCUUAAUAAGUUAUUGGCCAGUUGGCAGGUAUUGAAAUUAUUUAUUUUAUUUAAGAAAUUAAUUUUAGAAGCAGUACCUACGUACAUUCUUCUUCUUUUAAUUUAGUAAAUGUUUUUUUAUUUAUAUUAAUUUACAUUUUUUUUAAACUAAAUAAUUUAUUAACAUGAAACAAUGUUAAUCUGUACAUAUACUAGUUAUUGUAAUUAAGUUUUUUUAAUGUAUUUUUUUUACUAAAAAUUUUUAGAAGCAGUACCUACAUUCUUCUUUUAACACCACAAGAAUCAAAGAUAUGGAAAUUGUUGCUAUUAUUUGGCUCACAAAAGCAAGGGAAAAACUAAAAACAACAACACCAGCUGAUUCCUAAGUUUAGUAAAUGUUUUUUUUAUUCAUAUGAAUUUACUUUUUUUUUAACUAAAUAAUUAAUUAACAUGAAGCAAUGUUAAUCUGUACAUAUACUAGAUAUUGUAAUUAAGUUUUUUUAUGUAUUUUUUUUACUAAAAAUUAAGUUUAUAGUGGGUUAUAGUUUUUUUUUUAGAAAUUAUUACCUGUUAUACAAAUACAUUUUAAAUCACAUAAUUGAAAUGCGAGGUGUGCAAGUAUUUAGUUAAAAAAAUAUACUUAUUUUAUAUCUGUUAUAUAAAUUAAAUAAGUAAUAUACAUUUAUAUUGUUACUUAACUUAUAUUUAAAAUGUUAAUCUGGACUAGUUAUUGUCAUAACAUUCGUUUUUUCAAUGUAUUUUAUUUGUUAAAAAUUAAAAUUAUAUAUUUUUUUUUAUUAAUGAUUAUCUGCAUAUACCUAAAUAAAUUUUAAAUCACAUAAUUUAAAUGCAAGGUGUGUACAUUUUAAGUUAAACGAUACCUAUAUUAUAUUUAAAACACUGAACUAUAGUUAGUCACAUUUUUAAUAAUAUUAUGACUACAAAAUGAAAUUGGUUAACUUAAUGUUUCAA